GACGAACGCUGGCGGCGUGCCUAACACAUGCAAGUCGAACGGAGUUGUUCCUUCGGGGACAACUUAGUGGCGAACGGGUGAGUAACGCGUGAGAAACCUGCCUUUCAGUGGGGGACAACAGUUGGAAACGACUGCUAAUACCGCAUAAUGUUAUUUGGGGGCAUCCCUGAAUAACCAAAGAUUUAUUGCUGAAAGAUGGUCUCGCGUCUGAUUAGCUAGAUGGCGGGGUAACGGCCCACCAUGGCGACGAUCAGUAGCCGGUCUGAGAGGAUGAACGGCCACAUUGGGACUGAGAUACGGCCCAGACUCCUACGGGAGGCAGCAGUGGGGAAUAUUGGGCAAUGGGGGAAACCCUGACCCAGCAACGCCGCGUGAGUGAGGAAGUAUUUCGGUAUGUAAAGCUCUAUCAGCAGGGAAGAAAAUGACGGUACCUGACUAAGAAGCCCCGGCUAACUACGUG
Molecule: ribosomal RNA, 460 nt
Filed under: uncultured bacterium
Lineage: Bacteria
Description: bacterial SSU rRNA
Rfam family: Bacterial small subunit ribosomal RNA
Source: RNAcentral